RNAcentral lists this ribosomal RNA (494 nucleotides) under uncultured bacterium. RNAcentral describes it as "partial 16S ribosomal RNA". It matches the Rfam family "Bacterial small subunit ribosomal RNA", at positions 28 to 507 of the family's 1533-position model. The record is from RNAcentral.
GACGAACGCUGGCGGCGCGCUUAACACAUGCGAGUCGAACGGAAAGGCCUGCUUUUCCUUGUGGAUUGCGGGUACUCGAGUGGCGAACGGACGAGUAAACCGUGAGUGAUCUGCCCCCAACUUGGGUAUAAACCCGGGAAACUGGGUCUAAUUCCCGAUAGGACCGCAGGGUGCUGGCGUUGGUGGACAACGAUUUUUUAGUGUUAGGGGGUGAGCUCGCGGACUAUCAGCUUGUUGGUGGGGUAAUGGGCUACCAAGGCGGGGACGGGUAGCCGGCCUGGGAGGGUGGACGGCCACAUUGGGACUGAGAGACGGCCCAGACUGCUACGGGAGGCAGCAGUGGGGAAUCUUGGACAAUGGGCGGAAGCCUGAUGCAGCGACGCCGCGUGGGGGAUGACGGCCUUCGGGUUGUAAACUCCUUGCGACCGCGAGGAAGCCACCUGGUUGGAAGGGUGGUGACGGUAGUGGUAGAAGAAGCACCGGCUAACUACGUG